This is a regulatory RNA element of 177 nucleotides. It matches the Rfam family "Lysine riboswitch aptamer". Rfam says of the family: Riboswitches are metabolite binding domains within certain messenger RNAs that serve as precision sensors for their corresponding targets. The record is from Rfam.
UAGAAGGGUAGAGGCGCAAUAAUCUAUCAGUACUAAUAAGGAGUUAAGCACAGAGAGUUAUUAGGAAAGGAGAUAUUGCCGAAGUUUUAUAAUCGAUGCUUUAAGAUUAUAUUGCUGGGGGUACAUAGAAAAUAUGUACAACUGUCACAGGUUUAUUUGUGGUGAGCUAUCAUUUAA